GACGAACGCUGGCGGCGUGCCUAACACAUGCAAGUCGAGCGGAGGUACCCAAGGAGUAAUCUGAGGGUACUUUAGCGGCGGACGGGUGAGUAACGCGUGAGCAACCUGCCUUUCACAGGGGGAUAAGGCGGCGAAAGCCGCUCUAAUACCGCAUGAGACCACGGGGAUGAUAUUUCUGGGGUCAAAGGAGCAAUCCGGUGAGAGAUGGGCUCGCGUCCGAUUAGGUAGUUGGUGAGGUAACGGCCCACCAAGCCAAUGAUCGGUAGCCGGCCUGAGAGGGUGAACGGCCACAUUGGAACUGAGAGACGGUCCAAACUCCUACGGGAGGCAGCAGUGGGGAAUAUUGGGCAAUGGGGGAAACCCUGACCCAGCAACGCCGCGUGAGGGAAGAAGGUUUUCGGAUUGUAAACCUCUGUUCUUGGAGAAGAGAAGAAGACGGUAUCCAAGGAGGAAGCCCCGGCUAACUACGUG
This 471-nucleotide ribosomal RNA is filed under the name uncultured bacterium. Its description in RNAcentral is "bacterial SSU rRNA". It matches the Rfam family "Bacterial small subunit ribosomal RNA", at positions 28 to 507 of the family's 1533-position model. The record is from RNAcentral.